Molecule: RNA transcript, 2105 nt
Organism: Brassica napus (rape)
Lineage: Eukaryota; Viridiplantae; Streptophyta; Magnoliopsida; Brassicales; Brassicaceae
Exons: 3
Source: RefSeq, a predicted model, not a curated record
UCUAUAAAGUUUAACUAUCUAUAUAUAUAUAUAAAAAUAUGUUUGCCUCUCUCCAAUGCUGCUACAUCACUAAUUCAUCUCUUCCUACCAUGACAUGUGUCCUCUCAGUUAUUUUUCUUCUUUUAGUUUGUGUUUUUUUUUUGGCUUCACGGUUAUUGAAAGGAAUUUGUAUGUUUGUUAAUUGGGCUGAUGGACCAUUAUCGGAUUCCGAAAAGUUACACGCUUCGUCUUCAAGAAUUGUGAUUUAUAGGGUUCAUCCUCUGCUUCAGCCGUUACUUCGAUAAACUAACCAUAGAGUUUCAGAAGGCUAUGGAAGACGAAUAUUCAUGGCUAAUCCAUGGAGCGAGCUGCUGUUCAUGUCGUUUCUUCUCGAGCUCUCUCUACUUUGCCGUUUUAUCGACGGAGACGAUGCCGCUAGACGCUAGACGUCGUACCGCUGCAGUGGCCAAUUAUCGGAAAAAAAACUCAAAAGAGCUCGAGUCCCGAGUUCGAACAGAUUCGAAUCAGUUUACUCCGCCCUAUUCGAAUUCGCCCAGAUUCAAUUGCAUCCUUCUAUCGAAUCUGUACUUUAUUUCAAAAAGGGUUUGAUUUGCAUUGAAUCUAGGUCUCCUUGUGGUCUUGCAGCUAGGGAUAACUUGAGAGGAUCUAAAAAGGAAUUCAACAAAACUGAAGAUGAUCUCAAGUCUCUUCAAAGUGUUGCUCAGAUCAUUGGAGAAGUCCUUCGACCUUUCUCUCUCUCUAGCUAAUAACCCUAUUUUGCUUCUGUGAGAUUAUUACUCAUUGAAUGUCUUGUUCUUGUGCCCUCAUAGUGAUUGUCAAAGCUAGCAGCGGUCCUCGAUAUGUGGUAGGCUGCCGUAGCAAAGUGGAUAAGGAGAAGCUGAUCUCAGCAACUCGAGUUGUUCUUGAUAUGACAACACUAACAAUUAUGAGAGCCCUUCCCCGAGAAGUAAGAUCCUUGCAUCUGUUCCUCUCCGGCAGCCAUUUUCACCCCUCACAUCCCUUCCAUCAUCCUAGCACAAGAGAAACCAAGAAGAAAAACAACAUCAAUGUCAUACAUAUAUAAAGGAAGAGAAAAAAUUAUGAGUUAUGAGAGCUCAGUCAUUGUAGAGAACUAUAAUUUUCUCCAAUAAUAAAUAGUGGUCAACAGGUCAGUUUUACUUAAUUUUAGUCUGGAACCAUUAGCGGAUAUAGUGGUCAACAUGUCAGUUUUACUUAAUUUUAGACUAGAGAUGUCAUCAUUUUCGUUUUGGAUCAAUACUAUUUAUUUUAUUAUUCCAGAUAUUGUUUGAGCUCUUGGCCUAGGUGGAACUGCCCUAGGAAUGAUAAAAGAAAAAUACUUGGUUUAGGCAAGUAUAUGCUAUUCAAAGAAAUACAUCUUUUUGAUUCCUCCGAGCCAUUUUGAAGCUUGAAGGUUCACUGAGAAUAUGCUUCAGGCUCUUUAUAAGUUGCCCACUUAGGUUUGAUUUUAUUUCUUUCUGUCUUUUCCCCAGGCGUUUACUCAACAUUUGAGUAUAAAUAUGGGUGAUGCUGAAGAAGUAUCACAACACUAUAGAUUGAUGUCAAGACAUACAAGAGAUUGUUUGGGAGUGUCCUUUAGAUGUUACGCCUACAUACCCGUUUCAGGUCAAGAGUAUGUGCAGUUGUCUGAUUGUCUAAUUGAAACGCUUAACAAAGAUGAAGUGUACUGAUUAGCUGUUGCAACUGCAUUUUCACUCAUGAGCAAACUCUGUGGUUACUGAGGAAUUUUUUUAAGGAUAUAUUCCUCCCUGAAACUCAAGCCUCCUGCUACUCAUCAUUAUAGUGCCUUUGAAACCCACACACAAUGAAUGGCCACCUUGAACCUUAUGUUCUCCGACUUGAAAGCUGGUUGUGGUGCCAACACGGUCGAAUCCUGACUUCUUAGGUUCGGUGUGGCCUGUAAUGUGAAGAAAGGGAGAGAGCUCAUAAGGCCGGCAUGCUGUAUCGUCAUCAUUUCAUCAUUAGUUAACUAUAAUAAUGGUCCAGUUUUGGUUGGGUCACAAAAGCUUUGAUGGGUCUCACGUUUGGUGGGUCACUCCCAACUAAAUUUUGUAAAUUAUUUUAUAUUCACAGCAACUUUUGUUUCA